This is a non-coding RNA of Acomys russatus (golden spiny mouse), 134 nucleotides long. NCBI's taxonomy places the organism in Eukaryota, Metazoa, Chordata, Mammalia, Rodentia, Muridae. The record is from RefSeq and is a predicted model, not a curated record.
GAGGCAGUUGUUAGCAGCCCCAUAUUCUACACUUGGGAUUAAAACAAAAACUUGUCACGCACAUCAAAACAAAUCGUUCCUGCCGACAGUGUCUGUGUAGUUGUCAGAUUUUCUGUGCGAUGGCUCCAUACAUA